Molecule: ribosomal RNA, 253 nt
Filed under: uncultured bacterium
Lineage: Bacteria
Description: partial 16S ribosomal RNA
Rfam family: Bacterial small subunit ribosomal RNA
Source: RNAcentral
UACGGAGGUGGCAAGCGUUGCUCGGAAUCACUGGGCGUAAAGGGCGCGUAGGCGGGGAGGUAAGUCGGGUGUGAAAUCCCUCGGCCCAACCGGGGAACUGCGCCCGAGACUGCUUCUCUUGAGUCCCGGAGAGGAAGGUGGAAUUCCCGGUGUAGCGGUGAAAUGUGUAGAGAUCGGGAGGAACACCGGUGGCGAAGGCGGGUCUCUGGGCAGUAACUGACGCUGAGGAGCGAAAGCGUGGGGAGCGAACAGG